UGGGGAAUAUUGCACAAUGGGCGCAAGCCUGAUGCAGCCAUGCCGCGUGUAUGAAGAAGGCCUUCGGGUUGUAAAGUACUUUCAGCGGGGAGGAAGGGAGUAAAGUUAAUACCUUUGCUCAUUGACGUUACCCGCAGAAGAAGCACCGGCUAACUCCGUGCCAGCAGCCGCGGUAAUACGGAGGGUGCAAGCGUUAAUCGGAAUUACUGGGCGUAAAGCGCACGCAGGCGGUUUGUUAAGUCAGAUGUGAAAUCCCCGGGCUCAACCUGGGAACUGCAACUGAUACUGGCAAGCUUGAGUCUCGUAGAGGGGGGUAGAAUUCCAGGUGUAGCGGUGAAAUGCGUAGAGAUCUGGAGGAAUACCGGUGGCGAAGGCGGCCCCCUGGGCGAAGACUGACGCUCAGGUGCGAAAGCGUGGGGAGCAAACAGG
RNAcentral lists this ribosomal RNA (429 nucleotides) under Chloroflexota bacterium. RNAcentral's name for it is "Chloroflexi bacterium partial 16S ribosomal RNA". It matches the Rfam family "Bacterial small subunit ribosomal RNA", at positions 355 to 776 of the family's 1533-position model. Lineage: Bacteria; Bacillati; Chloroflexota. The record is from RNAcentral.